This 499-nucleotide ribosomal RNA is filed under the name uncultured bacterium. RNAcentral describes it as "bacterial SSU rRNA". It matches the Rfam family "Bacterial small subunit ribosomal RNA", at positions 30 to 504 of the family's 1533-position model. The record is from RNAcentral.
CGAACGCUGGCGGCGUGGCUAAAACAUGCAAGUCGUACGCGAAAGUUUUCUUCGGAAAACGAGUAGAGUGGCGGCAGGGCGAGUAAUGCAUGGGUAACGUGCCUUGAGCACGGGGAUAGCUGUGGGAAACUGCAGGUAAUACCCGAUGAGACCACAGGACCUUAUGGUACAGUGGUCAAAGGUGGGGAUCUCUUCGGAGACCUUCCGGCUUAAGAGCGGCCCAUGUCCUAUCAGCUUGUUGGUGAGGUAACGGCUCACCAAGGCUUCGACGGGUACCGGGACUGAGAGGUUGACCCGGCGCAUUGGGACUGAGACACUGCCCAGACUCCUACGGGAGGCUGCAGUAACGAAUAUUCCGCAAUGGACGAAAGUCUGACGGAGCGACGCCGCGUGCGGGAAUAAGCCCUUCGGGGUGUAAACCGCUGUCAGGGACUACCAAGCAAAGAGGGCUAAUAUCUCUCGGCGUUGAGGAAUCCCAGAGGAAGCCACGGCUAACUUC